UACGAAGGGGGCUAGCGUUGCUCGGAAUUACUGGGCGUAAAGGGCGCGUAGGCGGCGCAGAUAGUCAGGCGUGAAAUUCCUGGGCUCAACCUGGGGACUGCGCUUGAUACGUCUGUGCUAGAGGACGGAAGAGGGUCGUGGAAUUCCCAGUGUAGAGGUGAAAUUCGUAGAUAUUGGGAAGAACACCGGUGGCGAAGGCGGCGACCUGGUCCGUUACUGACGCUGAGGCGCGACAGCGUGGGGAGCAAACAGG
RNAcentral lists this ribosomal RNA (253 nucleotides) under uncultured bacterium. Its description in RNAcentral is "partial 16S ribosomal RNA". It matches the Rfam family "Bacterial small subunit ribosomal RNA", at positions 524 to 776 of the family's 1533-position model. The record is from RNAcentral.